UACAGAGGGUGCAAGCGUUGUUCGGAAUUAUUGGGCGUAAAGGGAGUGUAGGCGGCUUUCUAAGUCUUCUGUGAAAUCUACGGGCUUAGCCUGUAAAGUGCAGAGGAAACUGGGAGGCUUGAGUGUUGGAGAGGGCGGGGGAAUACCCAGUGUAGAGGUGAAAUUCGUAGAGAUUGGGUGGAACACCAGUGGCGAAGGCGCCUGCCUGGCUGACAACUGACGCUGAGACUCGAAAGCAUGGGGAGCAAACAGG
RNAcentral lists this ribosomal RNA (253 nucleotides) under uncultured bacterium. RNAcentral describes it as "partial 16S ribosomal RNA". It matches the Rfam family "Bacterial small subunit ribosomal RNA", at positions 524 to 776 of the family's 1533-position model. The record is from RNAcentral.